RNAcentral lists this ribosomal RNA (377 nucleotides) under uncultured bacterium. Its description in RNAcentral is "bacterial SSU rRNA". It matches the Rfam family "Bacterial small subunit ribosomal RNA", at positions 42 to 423 of the family's 1533-position model. The record is from RNAcentral.
UCAGGCCUAACACAUGCAAGUCGAACGGUAACAGGCCGCAAGGUGCUGACGAGUGGCGAACGGGUGAGUAAUGCAUCGGAACGUGCCCGGUCGUGGGGGAUAACUACUCGAAAGAGUGGCUAAUACCGCAUACGAUCUAUGGAUGAAAGCGGGGGAUCGCAAGACCUCGCGCGAUUGGAGCGGCCGAUGUCAGAUUAGGUAGUUGGUGGGGUAAAGGCCCACCAAGCCGACGAUCUGUAGCUGGUCUGAGAGGACGACCAGCCACACUGGGACUGAGACACGGCCCAGACUCCUACGGGAGGCAGCAGUGGGGAAUUUUGGACAAUGGGGGCAACCCUGAUCCAGAAGAGCCGCGUGCAGGAAGAAGGCCUUCGGGU